AGAGUUUGAUCCUGGCUCAGAACGAACGCUGGCGGCAGGCUUAACACAUGCAAGUCGAGCGCCCCGCAAGGGGAGCGGCAGACGGGUGAGUAACGCGUGGGAAUCUACCGUGCCCUACGGAAUAGCUCCGGGAAACUGGAAUUAAUACCGUAUACGCCCUUCGGGGGAAAGAUUUAUCGGGGUAUGAUGAGCCCGCGUUGGAUUAGCUAGUUGGUGGGGUAAAGGCCUACCAAGGCGACGAUCCAUAGCUGGUCUGAGAGGAUGAUCAGCCACAUUGGGACUGAGACACGGCCCAAACUCCUACGGGAGGCAGCAGUGGGGAAUAUUGGACAAUGGGCGCAAGCCUGAUCCAGCCAUGCCGCGUGAGUGAUGAAGGCCCUAGGGUUGUAAAGCUCUUUCACCGGUGAAGAUAAUGACGGUAACCGGAGAAGAAGCCCCGGCUAACUUCGUGCCAGCAGCCGCGGUAAUACGAAGGGGGCUAGCGUUGUUCGGAAUUACUGGGCGUAAAGCGCACGUAGGCGGAUAUUUAAGUCAGGGGUGAAAUCCCAGAGCUCAACUCUGGAACUGCCUUUGAUACUGGGUAUCUCGAGUAUGGAAGAGGUGAGUGGAAUUCCGAGUGUAGAGGUGAAAUUCGUAGAUAUUCGGAGGAACACCAGUGGCGAAGGCGGCUCACUGGUCCAUUACUGACGCUGA
RNAcentral lists this ribosomal RNA (693 nucleotides) under uncultured soil bacterium. RNAcentral describes it as "bacterial SSU rRNA". It matches the Rfam family "Bacterial small subunit ribosomal RNA", at positions 8 to 749 of the family's 1533-position model. The record is from RNAcentral.